This 440-nucleotide ribosomal RNA is filed under the name uncultured bacterium. RNAcentral describes it as "bacterial SSU rRNA". It matches the Rfam family "Bacterial small subunit ribosomal RNA", at positions 339 to 796 of the family's 1533-position model. The record is from RNAcentral.
CUACGGGAGGCAGCAGUGGGGAAUCUUGGACAAUGGGGGAAACCCUGAUCCAGCCAUGCCGCGUGAAUGAUGAAGGCCUUAGGGUUGUAAAAUUCUUUCAGCGGGGAAGAUAAUGACGGUACCCGCAGAAGAAGCCCCGGCUAACUCCGUGCCAGCAGCCGCGGUAAUACGGAGGGGGCUAGCGUUGUUCGGAAUUACUGGGCGUAAAGCGCACGUAGGCGGCUCGGAAAGUCAGAGGUGAAAGCCCGGGGCUCAACCCCGGAAUAGCCUUUGAAACUAUCGAGCUAGAGUCCAGGAGAGGUGAGCGGAAUUCCGAGUGUAGAGGUGAAAUUCGUAGAUAUUCGGAGGAACACCAGAGGCGAAGGCGGCUCACUGGACUGGUACUGACGCUGAGGUGCGAAAGCGUGGGGAGCAAACAGGAUUAGAUACCCGUGUAGUCC